GAUGAAGAACGGCAGCGAAAUGCGAUAAGUAAUGUGAAUUGCAGAAUUCAGUGAAUCAUCGAAUCUUUGAACGCACAUUGCGCCCCCUGGUAUUCCGGGGGGCAUGCCUGUCCGAGCGUCAUUACAACCCUCAAGCUCAGCUUGGUGUUGGGCCCCGCCGCCCCGGCGGGCCCUAAAGUCAGUGGCGGUGCCGUCCGGCUCCGAGCGUAGUAAUUCUUCUCGCUCUGGAGGUCCGGUCGUGUGCUUGCCAGCAACCCCCAAUUUUUUUCAGGUUGACCUCGGAUCAGGUAGGGAUACCCGCUGAACUUAAGCAUAUCAAUAAGCGGAGGA
This 330-nucleotide unclassified non-coding RNA is filed under the name soil metagenome. RNAcentral's name for it is "partial contains 5.8S ribosomal RNA, internal transcribed spacer 2, and large subunit ribosomal RNA". The stretch from base 1 to 121 matches the Rfam family "5.8S ribosomal RNA", at positions 35 to 154 of the family's 154-position model. The record is from RNAcentral.